Molecule: ribosomal RNA, 493 nt
Filed under: uncultured bacterium
Lineage: Bacteria
Description: partial 16S ribosomal RNA
Rfam family: Bacterial small subunit ribosomal RNA
Source: RNAcentral
GACGAACGCUGGCGGCGUGCUUAACACAUGCAAGUCGAACGGAAAGGCCUGCUUUCCCUUGUGGAUUGCGGGUACUCGAGUGGCGAACGGGUGAGUAACACGUGAGUGAUCUGCCCCCAACUUGGGUAUAAGCCUGGGAAACUGGGUCUAAUUCCCGAUAGGACUGCAGGGUGGUGCCUGUGGUGGCAAACGAUUUUCUAGUGGUUGGGGAUGAGCUCGCGGCCUAUCAGCUUGUUGGUGGGGUAAUGGCCUACCAAGGCGGCGACGGGUAGCCGGCCUGGGAGGGUGGACGGCCACAUUGGGACUGAGAUACGGCCCAGACUCCUACGGGAGGCAGCAGUGGGGAAUAUUGCACAAUGGGCGGAAGCCUGAUGCAGCGACGCCGCGUGGGGGAUGACGGCCUGCGGGUUGUAAACUCCUUUCGACCGCGAGGAAGCCACCUGGUUGGAAGGGUGGUGACGGUAGUGGUAGAAGAAGCACCGGCUAACUACGU